This is a long non-coding RNA of Phascolarctos cinereus (koala), 661 nucleotides long. Lineage: Eukaryota; Metazoa; Chordata; Mammalia; Diprotodontia; Phascolarctidae. The record is from Ensembl.
GUACAAAUGCUCAUGCUGAAAAUUUAACAAUCCACAUGAGCUGACUCCAGCACACUGCUGGUUGUUUUUAGAUCCAGUAAUCUUCUUAGAUAGUCAUAAUGCGAGAGAAGUCCAGACACAUUGCCUGUAUACCGGAUAACAUCAAUUAUAUAAAGUGAUUGGAUAUGUGGAGAUGACAGCCAACAACAGGCAUACCAUGAGGAGGAAAAAAAACCAGAAAAUUCAGUAUCUUCACAGUGCUCAGGCAGCGAGGCAGAGAUCUCAGACUAAAGUACAUGAGAAUGCUAUCUCUGGAAAACUUGAGUACUUUCUGGUACUUAGAGCUAUAUUCAUGAAAUGAUUGGUACCAGAACAUCCUCCACUGGCCCAGAAUGCAUUGGCUCUACACCUUCUUAUCCUGUGCAAUCUAAGGUAAUGUCUCCCGAGAUUAUCCACCCAAAUCCCUAGAGACUUUCCUCUGCUCCUUUUAAUAUUUUGUGUGAAACAGUGCAGCACUCUGGCUGUCUGACUGCCAUCUCUCACUCCUGCAUUAUAAUUGGCCUUCCUUGUUUUCCAGACAUACCUGUACUUGACCAGUUCUUUUAUAUCACAUCUCAUAUGCAAGUCAUCAUUGGUAAGCUACUAUAGACUACAUCCUAUGAACACACUAUUCCGUUGCCCU